GAGUGGAAUUAAUGAGGACGGUGCUUGUGAAGUUUCCUCCAUAGCUCUUUUGCAAUCAAUCAUUCGUCUGUUAUUAUGGGUAAAUGGUCGUCCAAAUCCAAAAUACACAACAGAUUAUAGGUUGAAUAUAUCUGUGUCUUACAAUCUAUUUCUUUCAUAUUUUCAGUUGUUCCAUUGUAUGCAUGCACAUUGGAAGGCAGAAAGUAAUGUUGGCUGGUCGCCAGAGAAGUAAAAAGGCCAACAUCUUGAGCUGUAUGGAGCAUGGUUGUUUUCUUAAAGUUUCUGAUGGAUUGUAUACCAUUGACUGAGAGGAAUCGUUCAUUCAUGAGAAUGGGACAAGAGCAUUGCUAGAUGGAAUUCGGCUGAGUGUAAGUACACAUGAGAGGUGUGUUUUCAUUGAUAGAGGAAGGGUGAGAGCAUGACACUUGUACAGGAAAAAGAAAGAAAUGGAAACCAAAAUUU
This 462-nucleotide long non-coding RNA is filed under the name Triticum aestivum (bread wheat). RNAcentral's name for it is "long non-coding RNA (TAES_LNC028450)". Lineage: Eukaryota; Viridiplantae; Streptophyta; Magnoliopsida; Poales; Poaceae. The record is from RNAcentral.